AACAUCGCGCACCUGCGGGAACCUGCGGAAGGAUCAUUACAGAGUUGCAAAACUCCCACAAACCAUCGCGAAUCUUACCCGUACGGUUGCCUCGGCGCUGGCGGUCCGGAAGGCCCUCGGGCCCCCGGACCCUCGGGUCCCCCGCUCGCGGGGGGCUGCCCGCCGGAGUGCCGAAACCAAACUCUUGAUAUUUUAUGUCUCUCUGAGUAAACUUUUAAAUAAGUCAAAACUUUCAGCAAU
RNAcentral lists this unclassified non-coding RNA (240 nucleotides) under soil metagenome. RNAcentral describes it as "partial contains 5.8S ribosomal RNA, internal transcribed spacer 2, and large subunit ribosomal RNA". The record is from RNAcentral.